AACGCACCUUGCGCUCCUUGGUAUUCCGAGGAGCAUGCUUGUUUGAGUGUCAUUAAAUUCUCAACCCCUUUUGAAGUUUUCGUGACUUUGAAAGUUGGGCUUGGAUAUGGGGGCUGCUGGCUUCUCAAAGUCGGCUCUCCUUAAAAGCAUUAGCGGAACCUUUUUGUGAGCCGUCUAAUAGUGUGAUAAUUAUCUACGCUAUAGGUUGUUUGCAUUAAUAUAAUGAGGUUCAGCUUCUAAUAGUCCAUUGACUUGGACAAUAUCUUUAUUGAUGACCAUUUGACCUCAAAUCAAGUAGGACUACCCGCUGAACUUAA
This 317-nucleotide unclassified non-coding RNA is filed under the name uncultured Cystoderma. RNAcentral's name for it is "partial contains 5.8S ribosomal RNA, internal transcribed spacer 2, and large subunit ribosomal RNA". The stretch from base 1 to 52 matches the Rfam family "5.8S ribosomal RNA", at positions 103 to 154 of the family's 154-position model. The record is from RNAcentral. Lineage: Eukaryota; Fungi; Basidiomycota; Agaricomycetes; Agaricales; Squamanitaceae.